AUAAGACCUGUGGCGGCUCCACUGAGACCCACACGUGCAACUCCGCGCCUCCGCGUUAAAGGAGGUGAAACGCAGCAGCCCUGAGAAACCCCGAGACCCCGGUGUCCUAGCAGAGGCGCCCCGGAUGGGGAGGGGCGCGGGGCCGGCGCCACCCCAGAGGAAAAGCCCAGCGGAGCCGGGUUGGGCAGGAGCUGGCGGCGGCGGUGCGCUGGGCCUUCUGCCUUGGAUCCUCCGCGGUCGGCACCGCUUCCCUGCUCAGAUUCGAACCCAGAUUCGGCUCCCAAGGCUCCCACGGCUCCAGGGUGCCCAGUCUUGCAGCCAGCUCGCCGCCCGAGCCCCGGAUGGAGGAAGCGCUCACUGGCCGCUACCUCUGCUGUUUCUGGCACCAGAGAUUGAGACUGUGAACCUGAACUCCCUUGAUCUCCUCCCGUUGGGCCCAGGAGGGAGCCGAAUCCAGGCCCAACCGGGCUCACUGAGAAGAACCUUUAAAAAUCCGCCAACGAAUGCUGUUGCCUGGAUGCGCUGCCUAUGACCUUCAGCCGUGUGUUCACGCGCGCCCGCAGCCGUGGAGUGGCGGUCCCUCCUGCCGCCCGCAACCCCGGGGCCGCCGGUCUGCGCACACCGGGAGCAACUUCGUUACCCACAGCGCCCGCGUCCUGCGGCUCGCGCGGAACUGCGCGCGGGAAGGUGGCAGAGCGACGCUCCAGAACGCUGCUUGCGUAGACGCUGCCGCUGCCUUCAGAUCCCAAUUCGGCCGCGCGCGGGCGGGGCCCUGGCAGCAACGAAAAUGGCGAGCCUCGUAGCCUUCCGGGCCCGGCGGCCACAUUCCGGGAGUCGCCAGGUGGGAGCCCGCCUUCCGUGUCCCCAAACGCCCAGAGCCCGGGACACGGGCCGGCGGCCGGGUCACCAAGCCAGUUCCCGGAAUCGGCUCGCGCCGGAAUCCAGACUCGGCUUGCAAAGCCCGCUCCUGCCGUCUCUCCGCAGCGCGCCCUGCCCCCCACUGCCGGCCCUCUUAGCUUCAAAACCAAAUUUUGCCUUUCAUCCUGAGAGAUUAAUACCCCGCAGGUGAAACCGUGGAGACGGAGCUGCGGUGGGUUUCUUUUCCACGCCUCAGUUUCCUCGUCUGUGAAAUGGGACCAGGCGCGCCUGUGCUUCUCCGGGAGUUUAUUGCAGGGCUGGCUGGAGAGAAUGGCUGGGUGGAAGCUGCCAGGAGGAGGCCCAAGGCCGCCCACCCCGUGGGCCUCGUUUGCUGAGCGGGGGUCAGAGGCGUGCGGGACAGGGCGCGCCCCACGGCGGCUCUGGAGGCGGCCCGGCCCGUCCCUGUCUCCUCCCCUCGCUCCCCCUCCCCCGGCCUUCCCGGAACUCUCCUCGCCCGCUGGGUGGAGGAGGGGCGAGGGCCGACUCCGCCGCCCCUGGGGUCUCCCUCCUCCCACCCCCACCGCAGAGUCUGGCCCGCCCUGGGCUUUCCUCUCAGGUCCCUUUGGGUCUCCAGAAGCCCGGAGGUUUCGCGCAGACUCGAACCUGAGAUGACACCACCCAGCACCCCAAAUCCUGCAGAGUGUGGAGGGGAUCUGGGGAGAAGGCAGGGGCUGCCCGGGCGCUCUGGCUGCUGGGGGUGGGGGACAGGGCCUGCCGGGGAAGCGGGUCGGGGGAGGACUGGAGACCCAGGCUCCCCUAGGUACAACGAACCUCGCGGGAGGGAAUACGCCAUCCCCGUACCCACUUCCGAGGACGUAGGUCUUUUGGCACCGGCGGCAGCCGCGUUCCCACACAUCUGGGCGGGGCCCCGCAGCAUGGCCUGGGGAGCUGAGGCUUCGGGAUCCGGCACAAACUACCAUUCUAGGUGUAGACGGAGGAGGUGGGGUGUGGGAAGCAGGGGGCCAUGGUCUGAGCAGACCUUCUCACCUCUGGGCCUCCCACCUCCUGGGGCAGGACUUACGGGGAAGGACCCGAGGGGAGUGGGGUGUCCAUAGGGACACCCAAGGGUCUAUCCCUGCGAGCUUUGCUUUCUACUAAACCAAUAAUCGCAGUGGUGGUGGCAGUCGAGACACGGCUCAAAGAGCCGGCAAGAAUAGAGCAGAGACCAGGAUCGCCCCAGGCAGGGAAAAAAUGACCAGUUCUGUAGAGUGACCCGAAGGUGAUGGAAUCACUCGGGCGUCCUCCUGGGAAAGAGCUGCCUGCUCCCCCGCCGCCGCCAGUACACCGGCGCCCAUGCCCCGGGGGCUGGAGAGAGCAGCCAGGCACAGGUAACUCAAGAACUCCAGUCCCCUCACGGGUGCCGUGCUGUGGGGCGCCCUCACCCCCACACUUUGGGUCCCUGGGCCUCCUCAUCAAAGCAGGGGCCUGAGUGGCAGGAACACCCCUGUGUGCAGAAUAGUGCCCCCUGCAGCCCCCACAGGUCACCUCUUUGAGGACCUAGGUGGGGCCUGCCCUGGGGACUGGGGUGAAGAGGGCAGGUCCAGCCUUCAGCAGCCCCUCCCCCAUGACUUCAGUGGAAUUACAAGGGGAACACCCAGGGCAGCUCCCGUAGGCUGCACAAGGGAAGAGGGGAGGGCUUCUACUGAGGUGAAACAGUGACCCACCCCUCCCACACCGUCAGCCUCCCUCCCCUCUCCACCCUUCAGUGCUGGGACCCCAGGGCCCAUAGACAGCUGGGGGAGUGGGGAGACAGGAGGAACUCAAGCUCAGCUUCUGCCUCCUGUCUCCUGGGACCCUCGGGCAGCCCCUCCAGCUUCCUGGGAGUCCAAUUUCCCAAGGUAGAACGGUGGCGGCAGAGCCUGGCCCUGUGGUGGGGCAGCUGCACCCCGAUGAGUGGCUUGCAGUUCCUGGAGCCCUGCAGGUUGUUGGAGAGGCAGGGAGCCCUUCUCCCUCCUGCCUGCCCUCUUGCACUUCCUCUCCCAGAACCCAGCACUACUCCCAGAGGCUCUGAGCUGGAGCCCUAGAAGGUAACCACCUCCUGGCUGGACACAGGGCAAGUUGGGGCCAGGCGUGAGGACAGGUGCCCCAGGAGCCACCUGCUCCACUCAUCCACAAAGGCCUUAACUGGCUCAGGGGCCCCUAGCUCCCAGUCAAGCCCUGCCCUCCUGACCUUGUCCUGCCCUGGUGCUGCCAGUCGGGUGGAGAUGUCUAGGGGCCAGCUGGUCUCCUGGCAACUGAAGUCCGCGCUUCCCUUCCGUUCACUCAUUCCUUCCUUUCCUCAUGCAGGAGGCGCUGCAAGGCUCCGUGCUCCUGGAGCUUCGAGUCUAUGGUAUGAGUUAAACAGAAGGGUAUCUCCUCCAUCAGAUCUACAGGAGGGUGUCUGCUCCAUCAGACCUGGAGCUUCCAAGGCAUUUUACCCGAAGCUCCAGCACCUGGCCCAAGGCUGGGCUGUGCUGUGUCCUCAGUGAAAGAAUGGAUGAGUCACAGCUGAAUGACUGAAGAGCUGAACCAAUGGGAAAACUGAUGCUCAGAGGCUUGAGCAACCUAGGCCAGGACCUGUCCUUAGAGGCAGAAGCAGGACUCAGAGGAAGAGCACCCUGACCACAAAGCCCCAGGGUCCAGAAAGACUCAGCCACUGGAGUCUGUAUUUCCUGAGUCGCCUCUCACUGCUGGAGCUGUUUAUCAUCGCUCCAACUUUCACUAAAAAGGAAAAACUAUCACUUAAACAAAGCCAUUGAAACCCCAGCAUCAUGUGUGGAUUUUUUAACAUAAAUAAAUCAUACAAACUAAAAAAAAAAAAAAAA
Molecule: long non-coding RNA, 3722 nt
Filed under: Homo sapiens (human)
Lineage: Eukaryota; Metazoa; Chordata; Mammalia; Primates; Hominidae
Description: PRDM16 divergent transcript (PRDM16-DT)
Source: RNAcentral